CCCCGGUAAACGGCGGCCGUAACUAUAACGGUCCUAAGGUAGCGAAAUUCCUUGUCGGGUAAGUUCCGACCUGCACGAAUGGCGUAAUGAUGGCCAGGCUGUCUCCACCCGAGACUCAGUGAAAUUGAACUCGCUGUGAAGAUGCAGUGUACCCGCGGCAAGACGGAAAGACCCCGUGAACCUUUACUAUAGCUUGACACUGAACAUUGAGCCUUGAUGUGUAGGAUAGGUGGGAGGCUUUGAAGUGUGGACGCCAGUCUGCAUGGAGCCGACCUUGAAAUACCACCCUUUAAUGUUUGAUGUUCUAACGUGGACCCGUAAUCCGGGUUGCGGACAGUGUCUGGUGGGUAGUUUGACUGGGGCGGUCUCCUCCUAAAGAGUAACGGAGGAGCACGAAGGUUGGCUAAUCCUGGUCGGACAUCAGGAGGUUAGUGCAAUGGCAUAAGCCAGCUUGACUGCGAGCGUGACGGCGCGAGCAGGUGCGAAAGCAGGUCAUAGUGAUCCGGUGGUUCUGAAUGGAAGGGCCAUCGCUCAACGGAUAAAAGGUACUCCGGGGAUAACAGGCUGAUACCGCCCAAGAGUUCAUAUCGACGGCGGUGUUUGGCACCUCGAUGUCGGCUCAUCACAUCCUGGGGCUGAAGUAGGUCCCAAGGGUAUGGCUGUUCGCCAUUUAAAGUGGUACGCGAGCUGGGUUUAGAACGUCGUGAGACAGUUCGGUCCCUAUCUGCCGUGGGCGCUGGAGAACUGAGGGGGGCUGCUCCUAGUACGAGAGGACCGGAGUGGACGCAUCACUGGUGUUCGGGUUGUCAUGCCAAUGGCACUGCCCGGUAGCUAAAUGCGGAAGAGAUAAGUGCUGAAAGCAUCUAAGCACGAAACUUGCCCCGAGAUGAGUUCUCCCUGAGACUUAGAGUCUCCUGAAGGAACGUUGAAGACGACGACGUUGAUAGGCCGGGUGUGUAAGCGCAGCGAUG
Molecule: ribosomal RNA, 971 nt
Filed under: Salmonella enterica
Lineage: Bacteria; Pseudomonadati; Pseudomonadota; Gammaproteobacteria; Enterobacterales; Enterobacteriaceae
Also listed under: 3 other names
Description: partial 23S ribosomal RNA
Rfam family: Bacterial large subunit ribosomal RNA
Source: RNAcentral